UGCCAGCAGCCGCGGUAAUACGGAGGGGGCAAGCGUUGUUCGGAAUUACUGGGCGUAAAGGGUGCGCAGGCGGCGUCGCCAGUCAGGUGUGAAAUCCCCGGGCUCAACCCGGGAACUGCACUUGAUACUGCGAUGCUAGAGUUCGGAAGAGGAUGGCGGAAUUCCCAGUGUAGAGGUGAAAUUCGUAGAUAUUGGGAAGAACACCGGUGGCGAAGGCGGCCAUCUGGACCGGUACUGACGCUGAGGUACGAAAGCGUGGGGAGCAAACAGGAUUAGAUA
Molecule: ribosomal RNA, 279 nt
Filed under: uncultured bacterium
Lineage: Bacteria
Description: partial 16S ribosomal RNA
Rfam family: Bacterial small subunit ribosomal RNA
Source: RNAcentral